GUGGUAGUAGCUCAGUUGGUUAGAGCACCGGAUUGUGAUUCCGGGGGUCGCCGGUUCGAGCCCGGUUUACCACCCCA
RNAcentral lists this transfer RNA (77 nucleotides) under Pelagicoccus sp. SDUM812003. RNAcentral's name for it is "tRNA-His". It matches the Rfam family "tRNA". Rfam says of the family: Transfer RNA (tRNA) molecules are approximately 80 nucleotides in length. The record is from RNAcentral. Lineage: Bacteria; Pseudomonadati; Verrucomicrobiota; Opitutia; Puniceicoccales; Pelagicoccaceae.